This 275-nucleotide ribosomal RNA is filed under the name uncultured bacterium. Its description in RNAcentral is "partial 16S ribosomal RNA". It matches the Rfam family "Archaeal small subunit ribosomal RNA", at positions 473 to 747 of the family's 1478-position model. The record is from RNAcentral.
AUACCGGCGCCACGAGUGGAAUUCAUGUUUAUUGGGUCUAAAGUGUCCGUAGCUGGUUUGAUAAGUCUCUUGUGAAAGUCCUCUAGCUUAACUGAGGAUUUGCAAGAGAUACUGUCUGACUUGAGACCGGAAGAGGUGUGAGGUAUUGCUUGGGUAGCGGUAAAAUGCUAUAAUCCUUGCAAGACCAACUAAGGCGAAGGCAUCACACUUGGACGGAUCUGACAGUGAGGGACGAAAGCUGGGGGAGCGAACCGGAUUAGAAACCCUAGUAGUCC